This 368-nucleotide long non-coding RNA is filed under the name Carica papaya (papaya). Its description in RNAcentral is "long non-coding RNA (CPAP_LNC001714)". Lineage: Eukaryota; Viridiplantae; Streptophyta; Magnoliopsida; Brassicales; Caricaceae. The record is from RNAcentral.
ACACUUUAUGAAUUAUACAUGGCAAUACCAAUAUAUACUUCUCAUGUCUAUAUAUCAUUUCAUGCUUGAACAUUUUUUCAAUGUCAAUAGCAUCACGAAUUAACAUUUAUUUCGAGCAUUAAAUCAUAUAAUUUACACAUACAAAUUAACAAGUUCAUAUAUGACCAGAAAGCAUGCAUUAUCAAGUAAAAUGACUUCAUUUAGGCAUAAAAUUCAACAAUGCAAAUCCUUACCAAAAUAUCGAUGUUUCCUAUAACUUUUCUUCUUCUUCUCCUCUCCCUCUUUCUCUAGACCACUCCCUCUCUCUCUAAGCUCUUGGAGGAUUAAAGAAUGGAAUGGAAGUGAUGAGGAAAGGGUGAAGGGAGGGU